GAUGAACGCUGGCGGCGUGCCUAAUACAUGCAAGUCGAGCGAACAGACGAGGAGCUUGCUCCUCUGACGUUAGCGGCGGACGGGUGAGUAACACGUGGAUAACCUACCUAUAAGACUGGGAUAACUUCGGGAAACCGGAGCUAAUACCGGAUAAUAUAUUGAACCGCAUGGUUCAAUAGUGAAAGACGGUUUUGCUGUCACUUAUAGAUGGAUCCGCGCCGCAUUAGCUAGUUGGUAAGGUAACGGCUUACCAAGGCAACGAUGCGUAGCCGACCUGAGAGGGUGAUCGGCCACACUGGAACUGAGACACGGUCCAGACUCCUACGGGAGGCAGCAGUAGGGAAUCUUCCGCAAGGGGCGAAAGUCGGACGGAGCAACGCCGCGUGAGUGAUGGAGGUCUUCGGAUCGUAAAACUCUGUUAUUAGGGAAGAACAAAUGUGUAAGUAACUAGGCACGUCUUGACGGUACCUAAUCAGAAAGCCACGGCAAACUACGU
Molecule: ribosomal RNA, 496 nt
Filed under: uncultured bacterium
Lineage: Bacteria
Description: partial 16S ribosomal RNA
Rfam family: Bacterial small subunit ribosomal RNA
Source: RNAcentral